UUACGGGAGGCAGCAGUGGGGAAUAUUGGACACUGGGGGCAACCCUGAUCCAGCCAUGCCGCGUGAGUGAUGAAGGCCUUCGGGUUGUAAAGCUCUUUCGCACGCGACGAUGAUGACGGUAGCGUGAGAAGAAGCCCCGGCUAACUUCGUGCCAGCAGCCGCGGUAAUACGAAGGGGGCAAGCGUUGUUCGGAAUGACUGGGCGUAAAGGGCGCGUAGGCGGUCGCGUGCGUCAGGUGUGAAAGCCCCGGGCUCAACCUGGGAACGGCACUUGAGACGGCGCGGCUGGAGAGCGGGAGAGGAGUGUGGAAUUCCCAGUGUAGAGGUGAAAUUCGUAGAUAUUGGGAAGAACACCAGUGGCGAAGGCGGCACUCUGGCCCGUUUCUGACGCUGAGGCGCGAAAGCGUGGGGAGCAAACAGGCUUAGAUACCCCGGUAGA
Molecule: ribosomal RNA, 438 nt
Filed under: uncultured bacterium
Lineage: Bacteria
Description: bacterial SSU rRNA
Rfam family: Bacterial small subunit ribosomal RNA
Source: RNAcentral